GUCCCAACGCUGCUUACUUACCAGAGAACCCUUGAGGACAUGUUGGAGACAUUUGGUGCGGUCUGUGCUGUGAAUUCCCCAGAAGAGCUAGAGGGGAUGCAUGCUGCAGCUUAGAGGUUUCUUCAGCCCAGUAUUCUCCCAUUGUGCUGUUCCUGGUUAUGUUUAGCAACCAGUGGCACCCAGUGUGGGGCUCAAAUGACCAGUGAACUGAAGUAUUUGGAAAAUCAACUGAAGAACACUGAAGAGUUCUGGUCCAGGAAGGAACACACCAGGACCACGCUUCAAGACCAUCAGGAUAACAAUGGGGCAAACUAAAAGCAAAAGGGCUAAGUAUUUUGAGCUGAUAAAGAUGCUGCUGGCAGUGUCAGGAGUAAAAGUAAAGAGAAGAGAUUUUGAGGAUCUAGCCUGUUAUAUGGAGAAAUAUUGUUGCCCGUUGUCUCCACAAGGAAUGCUGCAAACGCAGCAGUGGAAGGAGGUGGUCGGGGCCUUUGAAAGGGCUGGCAGCCAGGGGAAAAUAAUCCCAUGUAAAAUUUGGGUUUUAUGCCAUUUAAUUACAGUGGUGUUGCAGCCUUCUCAAACUCCUCCACCAUCAGAGUGUGGGUCUGUUUGGGAAGUUCCGGUGUAGAACCAGGAUAAGGAUGGAGACUCUCCAUCUUGUGACAAAGAACAUUAAAAAUGUGAAGCCUGGGAGAGUGAGGAGGAGUCUGCCUCCAGGAAUCCCAUGUAAUCCUCAAGGACAAGCCAUUGUGGAAUGAAAUAACCAGGUCACUGGACCCCCAAAGAACAAAAAGCAAUGGCAUUAUAUACCCUUAACUUUGACAGUGUGACUUUUCCAUCCAAUACUUCAGCAGCAGAUAAACAUCAGAAGGAUCUGAAAAAAAAAAUGCAGUCCUCAUGUCAGCUUAUAUGAUGAAGGGAUGACAAUAACUGGAAAUCCGGAACUGUCAAAGUACAGGGCCAUGGUUGUGCUUGUGUCUCCACAGAUUAUGCAGAUGUCUGGCUACCAGGCCAAAAACUAAAACUCAGGAAUGAAGAAAAGAUCAUCCAACAUCAAGGAACCUCUGGAGGAAUCCGUGAAGAAGAUGAAGGUAACUGAAGGCCCUGGACGAACAGCACAACAGAACAGGGACCAUUCCCACCUGGGGACAGAUGAAGAAGCUUUCUCAAGAAGGCAAUGGAUGUCUAAAGGAAGCCUGGCACCAGUGGCACACACCUGUAAUCCUAGCU
Dipodomys ordii (Ord's kangaroo rat) is the source of this 1227-nucleotide long non-coding RNA. RefSeq lists it as uncharacterized. NCBI's taxonomy places the organism in Eukaryota, Metazoa, Chordata, Mammalia, Rodentia, Heteromyidae. The record is from RefSeq and is a predicted model, not a curated record. The transcript has 3 exons.